GACGAACGCUGGCGGCGUGCUUAACACAUGCAAGUCGAACGAAGUGGCGAACGGGUGAGUAACGCGUAAUCAACCUGCCCUUCAGAGGGGGACAACAGUUGGAAACGACUGCUAAUACCGCAUACUGAAGGAGGGGAUUGCGUCUGAUGAGCUAGUUGGAGGGGUAACGGCCCAACAAGGCGAUGAUCAGUAGCCGGUCUGUAGGGAUUAACGGCAAAAUUGGGACUGAGACACGGCCCAGACUCCUACGGGAGGCAGAAGUGGGGAAGCUUCCGCAAUGGACGAAAGUCUGACGGAGCAACGCCGCGUGAGUGAUGACGGCCUUCGGGUUGUAAAGCUCUGUUAAUCGGGACGCGGUACCGGAAUAGAAAGCCACGGCUAACUACGUGCCAGCAGCCGCGGUAAUAC
Molecule: ribosomal RNA, 408 nt
Filed under: uncultured bacterium
Lineage: Bacteria
Description: partial 16S ribosomal RNA
Rfam family: Bacterial small subunit ribosomal RNA
Source: RNAcentral